Molecule: ribosomal RNA, 254 nt
Filed under: uncultured bacterium
Lineage: Bacteria
Description: partial 16S ribosomal RNA
Rfam family: Bacterial small subunit ribosomal RNA
Source: RNAcentral
CUUUCUUUGCUGGCGACCGGCGCACGGGUGAGUAACACGUAUCCAACCUGCCCUUUACUCGGGGAUAGCCUUUCGAAAGAAAGAUUAAUACCCGAUGGCAUAAUGAUUCCGCAUGGUUUCAUUAUUAAAGGAUUCCGGUAAAGGAUGGGGAUGCGUUCCAUUAGGUUGUUGGUGAGGUAACGGCCCACCAAGCCUUCGAUGGAUAGGGGUCCUGAGAGGAAGGUCCCCCACAUUGGAACUGAGACACGGUCCAA